Parelaphostrongylus tenuis is the source of this 71-nucleotide non-coding RNA. NCBI's taxonomy places the organism in Eukaryota, Metazoa, Nematoda, Chromadorea, Rhabditida, Metastrongylidae. The record is from the annotation of a GenBank genome assembly.
ACCUCUGUGGUGUAGUGGUAGCACGCUCCCCUUGUAUGAGUGGAUUGCGGGUUCAACUCCCGCGUGAGGUU